CACACACCAAUAUUUUGUAGAGAAAGAAGACAAAUAUUGGAGAGUUCUUAGGUAGAUGAGUCUACCACAUAUACUAAACCCACAACUUGUUGAUUUGGAAGUAGGCCUCUCUUGAGCCCUAAGAAACAUUAAAAAGGUUGCAUUUUGCAAAAAUCUCUUCCCUCAUAAAGCUGUUUAAAAUACUUCGAGACUCAUUUUGAGAAACAGUAUUGUUUAGUGUGACUCUUAUAGCACAAGAGAGGAUCAUCACAACAAAGGACUUGGGGCUCAAGAAAACACUAGUAUAUGCACAUAUCCCACACAAAUUGGUAUUAAUCAAAACAAAAUUACUAAUUUAUGAAUUAAAAUUGAUAAAAUUAAAAGCAUAGAAUACAAACAUACAAAGUUCAAGAUGACCAUUAGCCCUAUUCAAUAACAUGCUACUAAAAAAGCUAAGUGUAAGUUUCUUUAGUUCAAAUUCAGUAAAUGUUGUUACUUCUGAAGAAAAUAAAAGCGCAGAGGUAGUUAAAAC
This 511-nucleotide unclassified non-coding RNA is filed under the name Hevea brasiliensis (rubber tree). Lineage: Eukaryota; Viridiplantae; Streptophyta; Magnoliopsida; Malpighiales; Euphorbiaceae. The record is from RNAcentral.